UUGAGAGAUCUUCGGGAUAUUAAUUAUGAAAGGUUAGGAGAUGCUCUGAUACCACGAAAAUUACUUCUAAUUUUUGAUAUAACAUAUGCUAAUUAAAGGGAGGUUAAUUCCCUGCAAAUCAUUCUACACGUCAAAGAAUUUCUCGCAAUCAUUUUUGAUCCAUUUAUGCUAUGUGCAUUGCACAUUCGUAAAUUAUUGGUUUGUUCUAUUGAAAACAAAAAGAGAGAGAGAGAGAAAAUAAUCUAUUCGUUUCUCACGAAGCAACGCUCCCCAUCACCAAUAAUAAUUUAUUCAAUUCCGACGAGGAAUUCAGUGAUGGUCCGGAGAAUGAAUCUUGAAAGGGAAAAAGGGAAGAUCGAAAGCAGAACCUUGGCAAUUCCAUUUCCUCCAUGACGGAUAUCAGAACAAGAGAUCAAGAGCCAGGGAGAAAGAAUCCGCAUAAAACAUUGAAAGGAGACGAUCGUACCUGCUUUAUUCCAAUCCGAUCUUUGUCCUUUGCUGGUGCCCGAUAGUUGUUCUUAGAAGGUAGAAGGAGGAGAAUGGGAACGGCCGGACCCUUCCAUUUCUUCCCAAGAUUUAUAACACGGAGGUGGUGGGUGAGCGGUUGGGUUGGACGAUCGCAUCCAAAUCUCGUUGAGAUCGAAUUCAAAUCAGAGAGAGAGAGAGAGAGAGAGAGAGUAAGUUUNNNNNNNNNNNNNNNNNNNNAAUACAGAGAGAGAGAGAGAGAGAGAGAGAGAAUUUUGGGGAAAUCAAUCUCAAAGGCCGCCUGGCAUUUUUGAGGACCAACGGGAGUAGUGGGGCGUAAAUUGGUCGAGUCGUACCGAAUUGGCUCGGGAUCCAAACCCACUACUCUCCACGUAGAGGAAAAAUUCGGAUCCACCGACCGGACCAGUUCGAUCACAAACCAACAAAUACAACUACUGAUCAAAAAGAAGAGAAAAGCGAUGGAGAUAUAUAUAUUUGUACGUGCCGGUUUGCGGUUGGACCGAUCGACGACGAUAGAUCUCAUCUAGCUAAUGAUUUUUCUUUCGGAUAAUGACCGGUUCUUAACCAACCUACACAAAACAUUGAGUCUGGCUUCGGGUUGCUAUCCGCGUGGCAAAGCAAUAAUAGCAAUUUUGUGAUGGCCCAUGACUUGGUAUACAGCUAUGCAUGGAAUGAGACGGUGGAUGGGACCAUCAACGACGUGACUCCAGUUUAUUACUCCAGCUUGCCGUAAGAAACUAAAUUGGGUUUGAUUCACCCUUUUCCUUGUAUAUAUGUGUAACUUAUUUUUGUCACUGGAAUGGCUUAAGACGUGAAGGGAAGGCUGAUAUAAAUGCUGGUGGGGUUGGUGGGAGCCCACAUGCUAUGCAUGAGAGGCAGGCAGGUAGUUGAGACUUGAGACCACCCUUUCGAAGAUGGCCACUCAAGCUGCUGUACAAGGGCCGCUCUCACUCUUGCAAUGAAAGUUGGCAUUAAAUAGCCAUAGUUUUUCUCCAGCAUUCCACUUGAAAAUUACUUGACGCAGUUACUUGCCGAACAAUGCGUAAAAAGAAUUCUUCAUUGUUGCGUGAAAUAUAAUUUGAUCAAAAAUUUGAAAGCAAUGAAUGCAAACUUGUGUUUAAAUUCUACGGAAGGCUUUUUGGUCCAGCUCCUGAUGGUGUCAGGGGCGGAACUUGCUACACGCUGACCUGUUUUCACCCAUCAGCAGUGGCUUUACAAACCUGAACAUCCAGUAGAUAAACUGAUCUACUGGGCUGAAAGGCUCGUGAUAUAAUAUGCCCGGCCCAGGAUUUGGCCCGGGCAUAAACAAGAGGCCUAGGGCAAAUAUCAGGUUGGCUUGAAAGCCGCUACUGCCGUGGGUAUGAUUAAUCACGCAACGUUAUAUCUAAUAUCCUUGGAUACUGAGCAGUUCCUACCAAACCAUAUAUAUAUAUAUAUAUAUAUAUAUAUAUAUAUAUAUAUANNNNNNNNNNNNNNNNNNNNNNNNNNNNNNNNNNNNNNNNNNNNNNNNNNNNNNNNNNNNNNNNNNNNNNNNNNNNNNNNNNNNNNNNNNNNNNNNNNNNNNNNNNNNNNNNNNNNNNNNNNNNNNNNNNNNNNNNNNNNNNNNNNNNNNNNNNNNNNNNNNNNNNNNNNNNNNNNNNNNNNNNNNNNNNNNNNNNNNNNNNNNNNNNNNNNNNNNNNNNNNNNNNNNNNNNNNNNNNNNNNNNNNNNNNNNNNNNNNNNNNNNNNNNNNNNNNNNNNNNNNNNNNNNNNNNNNNNNNNNNNNNNNNNNNNNNNNNNNNNNNNNNNNNNNNNNNNNNNNNNNNNNNNNNNNNNNNNNNNNNNNNNNNNNNNNNNNNNNNNNNNNNNNNNNNNNNNNNNNNNNNNNNNNNNNNNNNNNNNNNNNNNNNNNNNNNNNNNNNNNNNNNNNNNNNNNNNNNNNNNNNNNNNNNNNNNNNNNNNNNNNNNNNNNNNNNNNNNNNNNNNNNNNNNNNNNNNNNNNNNNNNNNNNNNNNNNNNNNNNNNNNNNNNNNNNNNNNNNNNNNNNNNNNNNNNNNNNNNNNNNNNNNNNNNNNNNNNNNNNNNNNNNNNNNNNNNNNNNNNNNNNNNNNNNNNNNNNNNNNNNNNNNNNNNNNNNNNNNNNNNNNNNNNNNNNNNNNNNNNNNNNNNNNNNNNNNNNNNNNNNNNNNNNNNNNNNNNNNNNNNNNNNNNNNNNNNNNNNNNNNNNNNNNNNNNNNNNNNNNNNNNNNNNNNNNNNNNNNNNNNNNNNNNNNNNNNNNNNNNNNNNNNNNNNNNNNNNNNNNNNNNNNNNNNNNNNNNNNNNNNNNNNNNNNNNNNNNNNNNNNNNNNNNNNNNNNNNNNNNNNNNNNNNNNNNNNNNNNNNNNNNNNNNNNNNNNNNNNNNNNNNNNNNNNNNNNNNNNNNNNNNNNNNNNNNNNNNNNNNNNNNNNNNNNNNNNNNNNNNNNNNNNNNNNNNNNNNNNNNNNNNNNNNNNNNNNNNNNNNNNNNNNNNNNNNNNNNNNNNNNNNNNNNNNNNNNNNNNNNNNNNNNNNNNNNNNNNNNNNNNNNNNNNNNNNNNNNNNNNNNNNNNNNNNNNNNNNNNNNNNNNNNNNNNNNNNNNNNNNNNNNNNNNNNNNNNNNNNNNNNNNNNNNNNNNNNNNNNNNNNNNUGCCCGGCACGGCCCGGCACUGUAGCUAUCGGGCCGUGCCACGGCCCGGCCCAGUGCCCAACUCUAAUCUUAUAACUUGCAAAUGGGCGGUAUAAGUCGGCUUAACCCAUGCAUCGGCCUGCACGAAGAUGAAACGUAAUUGGGAAAUGGGACAAAACGAGCGUGCCUAAGCGUGUCAUCGAGAGCUGGCUGACCAAGAGCCAGACCAUCGAACUUCCUUCCCCCGCUAUCAUUACCUGCUUUUGACCCUCCAUCCCGGUCUCCUCGUCCAUCCAUCAUCGGCCUCUGCACCCACACCACCACCUUAUCAUGCCCCCCUCCUCCAACAGCCCCCACCCCAACUAUUUCAAUUAUUUUUCUAAUUAUUAUUGCUAUGCUGCUACUACUAUUAUUAUUUCCUUAGUUUGUUGUCAUACUCCUCUACCAUCAUUAUCGCCAUACAGGUUACUUAUGGUCGAUCCUAGCAACCGACACAUCAUAUGCUUCAUGGUAUGUUAGCAAUAGCUCAAACAUGCCUACUAACCAUCAGAUAUGACCCGUCCCGAAGCUUAAGUGGCUCAUUUCAAUUUAGAAAAAAUCAUGCAUUGCCUUGAGAUUUAUGGGGGUCAUAGUCAAAUGGAGGCUCAACUGUAUAAUAAUAAAACAAAAUUACUUAUUAAUUCGUGGCUCAAAUUGCUACAACGAUCAAGGAUUGGUAUGGUAUAUGGAUAGACCGGCGGUUUCGGUUGGGCCCUAUUUAUUGCUCGGUGAACCGCCAAUUUUAUAUCGAAUCGGUGAUUGAGCAAUGAUCUUGCGGGUGACCUCUAGCUCUUCACGUAUCAUAGUCCAAUUUGUGCUACACCCAAUUCUCAUUGCUCUAAGACGUAGGGCAUUAUUUUUCUUGCUCAAGUUUGUACACCGUUUACACCUAAACAUUUAAAGCUAAAGGCAGAUAUUGUUUCCCAUUCUCAAGGUUAUUGCUGUACACCUACUUUUUCUUUCUUAAAAGAAGUUAAUCCAUGCGCACCAUGCAAUGGAGAUUCAUAUACAAUACAUUGGUAUUAAUGUUAAUCAGUCCAUAAUAUAUCCAAGGUGUUUAAUGUUGCGUCAAAAAUUGAUCAACAAAAACGCAUGAAUCUCAAAAUGUUUCAUGUGAAAACGAAGGUUCCACCAAGCAGCAACCUUAGAAGAUUAGCCAUCUACUCUUAUCCACCACUCUUCGUCAAGAGGGGACCUAAAGAUUAUUACCCAAGUAUUCUUUGAGAGCACAAAUAAUCUGAGGCUAUAAUGACUCGAACAUGGUUGAUCCUCCUAGCCAACCAACGAGGCUAUAAUCAUCCACUCGACUUCCAAGGAUUAACCGACAACCUUCUAAUCUUGAUCACUUUGUAACCGUGUGUCAUCAUUUUUUUUUCCUCUUUUGAAUAUCUGUCAUGUGCGUUACACGGCUUCUACUGUGCAUUCUGCAGCAACAUCGAGGAUAUCUCAAUGACUAAUUAAAGCUAUAGCUCUAGCUAGGAACCCUGGUUACUUCCAGAACAUUAUUUUUUAUUAAAAAAAAAGAAUCCAAUUAACUUUCUCAAUCUAUUACAAUGUAAUUCCAUGAGGACCUGUUACUUGUAUGCAUUUCCUAGUCAUUACUCUUGCAACAAGUCUCAAUUCCAAGCCAAACAUAAUCUUCUUCUUUUUAUAAGAUUAAUGCAUGUAAUUAAUUAGCGGUAACAAUAACCAACUAAUCUUCUUUCUAUUAAUUCCUUGUAAUUAGUGGAUUGGAAGACAGUUAUAACCACGACUCUUUACAUCUUCACAUGAGUCUUGCUUACACGUUAUUAAUGUACAAUAAACACGCCCUUAGAAGCAAUCAAAAUGUUGACGGAUGUGGUGAGGCUCGUCCCUCUCCUUCCUGCUGAACUUCUGGACGGUGGCUUUGGUCCUCGUUCUUCUCAGAUCUCUGGGGACCUCAGGAGGCCUGACCGACCUAAUGAGGGCCCAGUUCACUCCCUUGAAGAAGUCGUGCCUCUUGAUCUCCACUGAGCCCUUCAAGCUCCCUAUCCUCCUCUUCGGGUUCUUCACCAAGAGCUUGCUUAUGAGGUCUUGAGCUCUUAAAAUCUCAUCCAAGUCCUUACCACAGGUUGCCACCUUAGGAAAAGUGAGGGGCUGCUUGAUGAUGUUGGCCAGCGUCUUCUCAUUAUCCUCACCUUUGAAUGGCGUCCUCCCAUACAUCAUCUCAUAUAAGAACACCCCAAAGGUCCACCAAUCUACGGCGCUCCCGUGGCCAGCGCCGGAGAUCACCUCCGGCGCAAGGUACUCGUGAGUGCCCACGAAUGACUUGGACCGUGCAGCGAUCGGCUCGGCCACGAGCUCGGGGUCAAGCUCCUCAAAACCAUCUUCCUUGGUGACCGUCUGCGGUGCACGCCUAGCCCUCUUGCUGCUCCUGAUCGCCGCGCCAUAGAACCAAGAGAGCACCGGCUGCAUCGGCGGCACGCAGGAUGAGCUCGAGCCCUUCACAUUCUUCUCCACGGACUUGCAGUCUUGCCUUCCCCUAAGAAGCCUCGGAACUACAUCACAUUUUAACGAGAGAUCGAAGUCAGAAAGCAUGAUGUGGCCAUCAUCCCUGACGAGAACGUUCUCCGGCUUCAGGUCCCGGUAUACCACCCCCAUCAUGUGGAGGUACUCCAGAGCCAAGAGCGUCUCCGCGGCAUAAAACCUAAAUUUCAGUCAACUUUUCAUUAUUUUCAGUAUUUAUCUAUUAUAACAGACCAGACCGACGGAGCAAGAAUAAAAGCAAAACAAAGGGAGGGACGAUUGCAUGUUGACUAAUUGACCACCUGGCAGAAGAGAUGGUGAAGCGCCUUCCCGGCUGUCGUUGUCGGACGACGUGCAAAUCGCCACCGGGACAGAACUCCAUGGCAAGGCAGGAAUGGUGCGCCGCCUCGAACUCGGCGUAGAGAGUGGGCAGGAAGGGGUGAUCGAGCGUUCGAAGGAUCUCCCUUUCGGUCUCCGCCCUCUGGAGCUUCCUCCGGAAGGCGAGGGCCUCCUUGUCCACCACUUUCAUAGCAUAGAGGCAGCCCGCGGACAUGGGAUCUCGGAGCUGGCACAGGUACACGUUCCCGAGGUCGCCGCUCCCCAGCCGCCGCACGAGGCGGAAGUGGUCGAGCCCCACGUGGCCCGCGGCGGCCUGGACCCUCCGAAUGGCCUCCCACUCGACCUGGUUGGCCUUGUGGGGCUUGUGCUGGGCCGCACUGCAGCAGUACGAGCGCACCGACACGGAGCUCGAGCUCCCCAAGCUCCGGCGGGAGUCGGGGACCGUCAAGGAAGAGCAGCUGCUGUCGUAGUCGGACUCCUCUCGGCUAGUCGCCAUGGUAAUGGAAGAGGAGCCCUCGCCAGCUCCUCUUAAUUAUAUAGCAGCCAUGGCUUUCUGGUUUUGGACGGGGGUCGUAUCCUCCGCGCGAAUCCACCGUUGGAUCGCGCAAUGGUCCCUUCCAGAUCUAUGCAGGCGGAUGAAGGGAGGAGUUCGGAGUUCUUGGAGAUCUGUGCGUGCCAAGAUCCAACGGUCGACGUCGCGAAAGAUGCAAAACCCGCACCCGUUCGUUUUGGAGAAGGGCGAGGCUUGCACAUUGGCUGGCAAGGAGCUUCUCGCUGCGUUGUCUUGUUAUGUUUUAGGACUGAAAUACCCAUCUAAUUUCCCAUUUUCACCUCCUUUCCUACGUAAGAUUCCGGUGGUGUUCUUAUGAUUCCUUCUGAAAGGACAAGAACACCUCGUUCCAUCGAGCUUUGUUGAUCAAGUGAGUACUGUUUGGCUGCAAGGAAAUGGGAAAUGAUCGGGGGAGGCGAUCAGUAAACUGUAAGGCUCGGGGUAUUAUUGAAGGCUAGAGGGGAGGAGCGGGGUGCACGGAUCACCCGUGCCGCAUUAAUAAUUUCCCACCUCUCACGCACAUUCGAUAGGUGUCCCCUUUUUCCUCCUCUCAUUUUCCUCGGCGGGUUCAGGUUGUGUCUUUCGCGCGAAGGAAUGAUUCUCCUGCUUUCACUUCCUCAACCAUUGGAUCUUAAAUUUUUAUGUUGGAGCUUAAAACAUCAAACACCUAUGCAUUCAAGCAAUAUAAAACCUAUUAUGUCUCUCCAUUCCUAACAACAGCUGGGAAUAGGCAUAUGUUAAGGAGAUAGAUGGGAGAGAUAUAUUGAGGUGUCCACUAGCAAUAAAAAUUCUUUGGUGAGGACGCCGAAAAAUAUCCCAUGGGGCGGACUUUCUAUUUUGCCAUAUUUUCUCUAUUGCUCAUCUUAAAGAGGAAACCUACAAAUCAAAUCGAGAUGGAACUUUUGCUACUGAUAGAGUCUAUCAGUUUGAUACUUUAGAAAAUAAAAAUAAAAAAAUUGUAGCAACGAUAAAAGAAACCAUUUGUUCGCAUUCUCUCUUCUUUCCUUUUAAGCCUCUCUCCAUCUGUUUUCUUUCUCGUCAAACCAUCUUUUCCAUCCGUAAGACGUUCCUUCUCCUCCCUGAGUCUCCUUUUUCUCGUUCAAAGACUUCUCUCUUUUUCAGGAUCCAAGAAAUUUACAAAACUAAUGAGUAUGCAUUAUUUGGCCAUGUACUAUAUGCUGAUAAACAUCAUGUUCUGGAAACUGGUGAGUACCAUAUUCUGCUAAUGAAAAAAGGUAAGCAAAAUUUUGUGCAUGUGUAGCUGUUUCAGGAGUAGAAUACAGAUAGAGCUUUAAAAAUAUAACUUCAUAAAUGGGCCAUUCUGACUGCCGCUUACUUUAUAAUGCUUUCUAGCUCAUCUAGGUUUUUUAGGCACCACAGCAAAUCUUGGUAUCCAAAAUCAUUUGUAGAACCUCUGACAUUUCGUUUCUCACUGCACAUCGAUAUAGGAAAACAGUUGGUCAAAUUUUACAGAGAAUUUUUGAACAUUUUAAAGUCUAAUUUAGUUGACGCCAUUGGGCCGUCCCCUUCCCCCUCACUGUGCACUAUGAACCUGUGACUUGCCAGCCAAGUUCAGGCCAUCAUUUUCUAGCAUCGGCCGCAUAUUUUUUAUGGGAAAUAAUAUAUUGAAAACAAAAAACCGUAUCAGAAGGUAUCAUGGUAGUCAAAAAGGUUCAAAGAGCCCCGUCAAAAAAUAUAAGAAAGAUCUCCUUCCUUUUAUCCAUCCAUAUGGUGAAGAAUAAAAUGAUUUCUUUUUCUGAAGUAUGUACUUUUUUUGUUGGUGGAUACUGGCACUGAGAUUCUUGAGUAGAUGUAGAUACUUCUUAGAUUCCACUUGUUCAUAUAUCGAAUUCGAGCCUGCCUCCUCUGAUCCUUCCCAGCUCUUCUUCCCUUCCACUGCCGCUAGAGAUCUUAUCAAUCACUUGUUGGCUUUCGUGCCCGGAAGAGCUGCAGCAAAGUAAGAGGCAAAAUAUAGUGGAAACCCAAGACUCAAAUCCCUGGGGCAGGCUUUUCUCCCCACCCCUCAACUAUUCCCAACAACCAAAUUAAGAUCCUGUCUCCAUUCCUUCAUUUCCAUGUUUAAUAAAUUAUUAGAUCUUAUUAAUUCAGAAAUGAAAUGUCAUCACCAAGAAGAACUCAUUUUAUCCCAUAUAUAAGACUCCAUGGCAAUAUGUAAUGACCAGUAAAUUUUUGGAGAUAAUUGCCAUAGCAUGACAGCAGCCUCCACAGCAUGAAAACUCCCAACAGGAGCCAAUAUUUAUUUCCCGGUUACCCAUCUGCAGCUCCAUACGCAUUAAUCUCAAUGAAGAGGACCUUGAAAUGAAACACAGCAAAGCGAACAAUUCCGUAGUUAUUAACCGUUGGGAAAUCUCUACAAUAUUUUAGAUAAUAAUAUAGUCGCAUUAUUUCUGAAAAUAUACGUAUGCAACAUUCUAGAGAGUUGCACCGCUUCGAAUGUAUGCAAUCUUUGGACUUUUUUGAAUGUACUUAUAAGAAAAUAUAAAAUAUAUAAAUAAAUCUACCUUAUCCUACCAGAUUAAGCUUUUAGAAAAAGUGAUGAUUUCAAUUUAUAUAUUUUAUAUUUUCUUAGAGUGCCGGCGUACGAGAAAUCGAGAUAUGCGGCUUGCUUUUUCUGAUUUUCUAAUUACAACUUUUCUUUUCUCAAACUCUUCUUCUAUACUUCAUCUUUUUGGGUGUGGAUUCCUGAUUAAAGGGAAUUAAGAAGUGCAAUCAUGUCUUUUGCACCUAUAAAAUGGGAAAUCACUAUAUUUAAGAAAGCUUCCUAUAAGUACCUUACUCGGCUAAAUUCUUUUCCUUCUUUACACUUCUUUCUAUUUUCUCGAACAUACAUCAAUUCACCUUUAGCAACAAUGAUGCCGUAGCAGAAUUUAGCAACAAUAUUGGAAAGAUCAAUCCAAAAUUAGGAAGACGAGAAUAAAGUGUCAGCUCUAGGCAUUGCCUCUGCUUGUCGGAGUAGCGGAUUCUGAGGCUCGUAGUAGGGGGAGGAGGAGGAGGUCGGAGGAAAAAAACCAGAGAAGGAAACGGUGAGAGGGAAAUUCGGUAUGAUGCCUGAACAGGUUGGCAAGUAUAAAACCCCACACUCUGCAAUAUUAGAAUUUCGGUAUCUUAAUAGAAGACUAUAUAGAUUAUGUCACAUCCUAACAGUCGCGCAUGGCAAUCUUUGCAUGCAAAAAGAUUUAUAAUCCAUGUUUUAUUGUUUUACCACGGAAAUUGUCUACUUCAGCAAUGCAUUGCAUUAAGUUGAGAAAAAAAAAUACUAGAAAAAUUGUGGAUAAAGAAAAUGACAUAAUCAGUAGCUAAGUGGAUUUUGUUUUGAGAAAAAAUAGACAUACAUUUUAGGCAAGAAUCCGGAAAAGGCUGUUGCUAGUGAAACCAAUCCAUAGAACCCAAACUUGCAAAUUGCAGCAACGGGAUGGCACAAUUUUAUCCAUAUUGUCUCGUCAAACUUAGUCACAUGGUUUGUGAUCCACAAAGUGGUCAACUGAGAGCCGGUCCAACAAACUUCUUACCGUAGUCAUUCCAUUUUUUUUUAGCACAUCAGCUGCGCACACUAAUCUAGUGUGAGCAGUAGCUAACUGAAUUUAUACAAAAAAAACUACACAGUGGCAGAGGGAAAGAAACAUGCCGAGUCUAGAUGAUCCCUUCAGAAUGUUGGGCAGUAAAUGAGACGAUUCAAUCAGCCGCUCUGUUUGCCUUCCGAAAUAAAUGCACGGCAUGCAAAGCACUGUAUUUCCUCAGCAUCAGUUGGAUGUUGUCUAGAAGUAGGUGCUCCAUCUCUCCCCACCCUUCUCCAGUAUGUGCUCAAUCAUCACGGCUGAGUCCUUAUAAAGAAUAAUAUACCCAGCCUCUAGUACACAUUCCGUAUAGGAGAGUCCCUUCCAAGCAGUUCACCCCAAAAGUAUAAGUUUCAAAACUACGGUGCCCCCCGCAACAAUUAAUUUAGAGCUUUAGUCUCCGAUCAUGAACGUCACUCCAUCAUUUUCACCAUCAGCGAGUAGACUACCAUUAAAAUUCAUUUUAAGACGGCCAAGAAGUGGGGCUCAAGGCAAUGACAUGCCUAGGCUUCUGCCGUGCAACAAACUGGUAAGGCCCGGGUUGUUCCACGCCCCGUGGGCGCCAGCCGCGGACGUUGGCACGGAUCCUCACGUCCACGCGUCAAUUUAUCGGGCAUUCCCGCCUUUCUCCAUUUAAUCGCCUAUUUGCCGUCUUCGGCUUUUUUUUUUUGUUCCCUCUUGAGACGGAGAGCAAUGAAAAAGAAAUAUAGAAGUGAAAAAUAAAGGAAGAGAAAAGAAAGACAAAACAGAGAAAAAACGGCAUAAUAUGAGAGCCUCCGAAUUUCGCUGAGGCCGCACUCGGAGAGGUGAGCAUUGGGGUUUUAAUGCCAAUGGAUUCCCCGGAGCCCACGAAGCCUGCCUUCACCGCCCCUCCCGCGGUUCAGGUACAUUCUUUGCCCUCUNNNNNNNNNNNNNNNNNNNNNNNNNNNNNNNNNNNNNNNNNNNNNNNNNNNNNNNNNNNNNNNNNNNNNNNNNNNNNNNNNNNNNNNNNNNNNNNNNNNNNNNNNNNNNNNNNNNNNNNNNNNNCCACCGUAAAUCUGUUGUCUGUUUGCGAUUUUCGGAAAGAUCUGAUGCUUGGCCUUUUUGGAAUGGUAUCGUGUUUUCUUGUGUCAAUUUCUACAUUUUUUACCUCGUUUUGCGGUGGCUUAGAUGCUCUGCUUUCCAUCUCUACCAUCCUCGUUUAUUUGUAAUGAAAGAUCUCGGUAUUUCUGGCUUUCGAAUCUAUUAUCUCUAUUUCAUUUAUUUUUCUUUUUUUGGUUUAAUUUGGGAACUAAGUCUUUGGAUUUUGGGUUGAUGGUUCUUGGAUCGAAUUUAGAGUGUAUCUUGAACUGAUAUCUUUUGAUUGAAAUUGGGUUUUGAGAUGGAUGUAGAGGAUUUUAGUUGUUCUAGGGUUUCAUCGGGAAGCUUCUUUAAGCACCCCAUCCCUGGGUAUUCUUUUGAGGAUUUCAAUGCAAUACGGGAUUGGUGUAGGUUUAAACAUUGACAUCUCCACAUGUGGAACAGAAUUUUCAAGUGACAUUUUCAUGGGUAGAGUGGUGGUAUUUUUCAUUGACAAUGUCCCUUUUUUUGUUUUUAGUAUGAAUUUUUAAUUUUCUGUGGUGUUUUAAGUAGGGGUCUGUUUCUGGAUGCUUGUUAAUAUUUAUAUUGUGUUUUAGAAAGUUCUUUUACUUGCAUGAUCACAUGUCUUCUCGAAUCUAGUUGCAUGAUCUUUAAGAAUAGACCCAACAUUUCCUUUAGUUGUUUUCCUAGCGAAUUGCCUUUCUCAAAAUAGUUACUAUUUUAUGUUCUCUUUAACAAAUGUGCUUUGAGAGUGGUUGUGGCUUGUCUGGAGAUCUUGCUCCCUUCAUUGUUUCAGUUUGUAGCUCUGGGUUCCGGUUAGUGGUCAUUGAUACAUAAAACUGCUAUUUAUUAGUUUGAAAAUUUGCAGUUUGCUGUAACACACCAACAAUUUACUGAAAAGAUAUUCUUUUAAGUUUUGCAAGUUUCCAAUUGUCUCGAUUUAUGCAUUUAAUACACAAUUAAAUUAUAGUGACCACAAUUUUAGACUAUAUAAAUCAGCGGUUGGUGAUUUUCCUUAGGACUUAUUUGGUUCGUGGGAAAAGAAGGAAGGAAAGUGUGGUCAAGGGAAAAAAAAGCCUCUUGUUUGGUUGGAGUUUUCAAGGAUGAGAGAUGGAAAAGUAGCAUUACCGUGAAAAUAAGAUUCCUAUGUUUUAUGAGAAAAAAACCUAUGGGGGACAUAGCAAAGGUACUUUCCCACCGGUUGGAAAUUAGGGUCUUUUUUUUUGCGCAAAAGUACCCUUAAGCCAUCAAAAUUCAUGGUAAGGACUUUCUCUUUAUUAAGGGUAUAAUAGGUAUUUCAUCCAACUUUUUUUAGUAAAGUAGAUGUUCAACUAAACAUAAGCCAAUUUGGAAACUGCAACUUUGCCAUGAUCAACCAAAACCAUUUUUCCAGGCAUCAUAUUUUCAGGAAUCUUCUUCUCAGGAACAACAUUUCUGGAAAAAUUCUUCCCGUGAACCAAAUGAGCCUUAGAGUUUUCAUUGCCUUUAGUGAUGCUAGUAAAGCUGGUGAAGUGCGAUUUGAAUUUCCCUUGUUUUGCGGCCUUUUUGAUCUGGGUUUUCCUUUAUCAUAUUGUUCUAGGAUUUUCCUUUCUCCAGCUAUGUUAGUAAUUUGUCUCCUAUACCGUUAGUCAAUGCCAAGCUUGGUGUGCCGGCUUAUGGAGAUAUCAAUUUUCCAUCCCCAGAACCUGUGUUUACAUCGCCACAUGUUAAUCACCCUAGAAAACUGAAAAGGUAUCAGUCUUUUUAGAUGUUACUUAUCUAGGCAGAAUAGUUUUAGAUGAUUAAAAUCGUCUUAUUACGCCUGUUGUUCUUAUCCAGACCUCAACAUCUCUUCCUGAAUGGUGCCGAGAAGUUUCAUCCUGUGUAUGCCUAUAAUGCCACAACAUGCUCAGAAAGUGCACAGAUUAAUGGACCAUUUAUCUCAACAUCGAUGUUUCAAUUUGUCCCUUGCACUCAGAAAGAAUGUGACGAUGAUUGUGACUCCCAGGAUCAACCUUGCAGCAGUCCUUCAAGUUGUGUUGAUGCUUUUCUCACAAAUCCUUUGGAAAUUUGUGACAACCCCUCUGGUUCACUGGAUCUUUGUUCGAAACAAUCUGCCGAAGUGCCUGAACCAAUACAGGCUGACUGUACUAGUGUCAAUGAAAUACAAAUGAAAUGUUGCAAGGAGGAUUUUCGCCAAUUGCAACCUAUUACUCCAUCUGUUUUGGUGAAUGAGAGUACAGCUGAUUCCAUGGAGUGUUAAACUUCUUCUGAUUUACCUGAUCUGUGUUCUGAGCAGGCUUCUGAUCUUCCUCAAGCUUUACAGACUGAUUUUACAAGCACCAAGGAAACCAAUGCAGAGAUUCAUGUCUCCAAUGUCGAGAAAUGUAUGGUUACUAAAUCUAUUGAAAGUUUAGGUUCAUCACAUCAAGCUAAAGAGGGCCCUGCUGGAGAAGAACCAGCUUGCAUUGUUGCUCAAAAUGAAAGCAAGUUGAAAAUGGCUGAUGAGGCCAAGGAAAUUAAUGAGAGAUCACUUGAGCAUCCAGGACUGGUUUCUACUGAUGUCAAUAUUGGUUUGGAUUCAUGCAUAGUAGCUACUUGCUCCCAUCACGAGCCAAAAUCAAUGGAUCAGAAUGCGGCAAGUUAUCCUUGUUUUGGCUUAAAGAAUAAGGAUGGCGAUGUUGUGGACCUUAAUAAGGCAAACCCUACCACUUCAGUGAUGGGUCCCAAUGGAACAGAAGAUGCUAAUAAGGAUCUUGCUGAAACUGGAAAAUGGGGUGAGCUAGAUUCAUCCCCUCAAUGGCUACCAGAAACUCUUCAGGACACUCAGGCAGUUGACAAGCAUGUUGAUGAUUCGAGAACAAUGCACAUUGUAUCUGUUGAGAACCAGUUUCCUUAUUAUUAGGAGGCACAUAUGAGCUCUUAUAUUGCAUGCCUUAAGCUUCCAAACCAGACUAGUAAAGUAGGACAUUAUCCUUGCCUUAUUGUGUAAUUCUAUUUGAAUUAAAAAAAUCUUUUUUAUUUGGUGAAAUCCUUGUUGAUAUGUCUUUGAUACUUACAUUUGAAAAUCAUGCUAAUAUUCUUCUUUCAAUCUGCCAUCAACACUUUUAUGUAUUUUUCUGCAAAAUUUCCAUUUACAACACAUUUGUGCACUCUCAUUCCAAUCUAGCGUAAUAAGGUUAUAUAAUUCAAUUAUGCUCAUCCAUUUUAUACUCAUGUAAAUUUUGGAACAAAAUGCUCAUGAUAUUCAAAAUUUGCUAUACAACUUUGCAAUGUAUGUCCUAUCAUGCAUUAUACAGCUUUGCAAUGUAUGUCCUAUCAUGCAUUCAAGGAGCCCUCAGUCUCUGGACUUUGAAUUGCGCAGUGUAAAUAUCACAUAAUAGUAUCUGGUUAGCAAGCUUACUAGAUCAUGACAAACAAUCCAGAGUCAUAUCACCUUCUGUGAGUUAUAAAUUGAGCUAGCUAACUUCCUGAUAUUUGUUGCAAGAGGAUGGCCAGGGGGUGCUGGUGUGAUGUUUAUCCAGUGACAAGGUGCUUAUGGUCAUGCUAAUCGUAAAAUUGUACAUGAUAAACAUUCCAAUAAAAUGCUUUUGCUUUCCAUGUUCAAAACAACUGCUUCAACAAAGAUUAACCUGGAACAACGUGAUCUAAAGCCCAAUCAUGCAAAGAUGGAUGGUGGCAAAAGAAAACAUCUUGAAACUUUCAAUAAAGAUUUUUUAUCCAUGGACUAAAGUUCUUUGCACGUGAGGGGUUUGUGGUGAUCAGGAGUUAUGAAUGGACAUGAUCGUUGGAUGAACAUAUUAGAGCAAACGAGAUGCUGAAGUUGAAUCUUACAAGCUGGUGCAGGAAUGAAACUGCAAACAGGAACAAACUUUGGGCAAGGGAACAAUAAACCCUGCCCACAAUUCAAAGUGUGAUGUUGAAUUGGAGUGGAUUGACUCAUCAUGGGUAGUUUCGACACCAUGUUGCAGUGGUUUUAUUUCUAGAGACUUUUAAUUUUUAGCCAUGAAAUGUUCAAAUCAAGUUGAUAUCAAGCAACAGUCUUAGAGGGAUGGAACGACUUUCAGAACAUAAAUAGGCUGGCUCUCUGUGACAAACUAUGUUCAGCUGCCAUCCAUCUUAUAAAGUCUUGAGUUCUGAGAGGCUUCAUUAUAUAAUUAGUUGCUGCACAUGAUUUGACAGCAUAUAUAUAUAUAUGUAUAUAUUCUUACUUGCUAAUUUCUUAGUUUAUGAAUGCUUGGAGCUUCGGUGCCUAGAAUUUUUCUUAUACUUUUUAGAGUUUUUCAGUAGAUGCCAAAAUAUUUCGUUUGAAAUAUUUGACGGCUUCUUGUUAGUUUUGAAGGAAUUUCCUUGCCUUAGUGCGACUUGUCACAAAUUGUGAAGGAUAAUUUUAUAAGCACUUGAUGAAAUGUUGUCUGAACCAUUUAAUGCUAUGUCUAGGGUCACCAAUUUCACCUUUGUUGUUCUAUACAUAUGCUUUGUGUUGAUGAUGCCUAUUAUAUUAUGAAAUAUUUCACCUUAUUCGUGGAACUUGAUCUCUAACAAGAUAAGUACUUUCUUUUACUCAAAGCAUCUUUUGGUUAUUCAUUGCAUAGGAAGUUCAUUUCAACCCCCUGUCUCCUGCACCGAAAGGAAAAGGGGAACACAUGAGUAUUAGCUUACAAGAAUAUGUAAUGGAUAAUUAUGUGUAGGACUAUCAAUGACUUAGUUUGACCUUUUGCUUCUACCUGGCUUGAUGCCAAAAAUUUUAGGCACUGGUCCUUAUUUGCAACCUUUAAAGUAUCCUUAAUUUCAACCUUCAAGUUUGACCAAACUACCUUAUCUCAUGCUCAGACUCUAGCGGUGCUUAUAAUCUAGAGCAUAUGAAAUUAUAAUGAAGGACAUGGGAAGAGUGUACAGAAUAAAUAGGAAGUUUGAGGAAACUCCCAAACUUGGAGAGAUAGUGAUUGAAGUUGUGAGGCUUGGGUGCCUUUAGGGUCAUGGACGCCUUUUGUUUAAUAUGUGAAGUGACAACAGGCAAAGCAAGAAAAGUGAAUGAUGGAUGUGUGCAAGGUGGAAGGUAUAUAACAUUUUGAGAGUUAGAUUAGUAGUUCUUUUUUCCUCCUAAUUUUGAAAGAACUAGUAAUAGCCACAUGUUUAUUAUCGGUUUCAUAUAUAUAUAUAUAUAUAUAUAACUUUCAAAAGCACAGGCUUGACACGAUUAAUUCUGGUGGUGGUUAUAAUCUAGAAAAUAUGAAAAAGUAAUGAGGGACAAGGGAAAAGUAUAGGAAUAAUUUGAGGAAACUCACAAACUUGGAGUGGUGGUUAUUGAAAUAAGUAGGCUUGUCCGUCUUCAAGGUCACGGUAUCCUUUUUUCUGUGCGAAGUAACAAUGAUGAGAGCAAGAAAUGGAAUGAUGGAUGUGGGGAAGUUAUAAGAAGGUAUAUAAUUUGAAAUUAGCAGAAAAAUCAAUCAAUUUGAGGGUUAGUUGAGCGACUUUUUUUCCUCCUAAUUUUGAAAGAAUAAUCUGUGAUUAUAAACAUGUUUAUUGUUAGCUUGUAUUUGUUUAAUAUCAAAGGUGCAAGGUUGACCCAAUUUCUAUUGCGCUUGGACUUGAACUGGAGCCAGUCCUUAUCAAUCAGUAUGUGAACACCUUUGACUAAUCUUUUGAUGAACCUCAUAAAAUGAGAAUGUACCCCUUCCUGAUGCCAUGCUAUUUUGACUUGAAUUAUAGAAUUUAAGAAAAUCAUAAAUUUGUAUUUUCUCUUGUGUCUAUGGGUCAUAUUGGAGUUGACUGUCCCUGUUAAGAGCUUCUCUGUUAGUAUGCUUUCUUCUAUGUUCAGAGAUACUCAAUGACACCAUUGUCUUUAUUCUUCUUUUUCGGUAUAUAUUUAUCAACUUCAUUUUCAUAAAAUUUGUAAUUGUCCUUCCCUUUCUUGAAGUAUUUCGAGAUAGCAGCCCUGCAUUUUAUUGCGAGGACAGAUGCGGUUCUAUAAGAAAUAAUUAGGUUCGGAUCACUUAAUGCUUUCUAGGACUAGGGUCAUGUCUGGUAGUUAGAAGAUUUAACUUUUUUAAACCUUUCUUUUGUUAGGAAUCUUGUUCCCUUAUUAGGAAUCCAGUAUGGGGAAGGAGAGGAGGAAGCAUAUUGUGUCAAUAGGCUGGCCUGCUCUGGCUAUCUUAAAGGCCUGGCCAGAAAACAUUCAGGCUUGGGCUCAAGAUUUUUUUUUGGGUCUGUGAGUUGCUGGGCCUGAAACUGAACUUUUAGUAGUUUAUGAUGACCGUAUUUCUUAAUGAUUUCGUUCUUCCCAUUAUUCUACUGACAGUAACAACUUGACACAGAACUUGGUGUAGAAUAGACUAUUUGUUUUUGCAAUUUAAUUUUGCAAGCAUACCCAACUCAUUCGAGAAUUUUUACUUUAUUCUCAGUAGAAUGUUUUAAGCAAAAACAUCAUGCUGAUAUCUACUUGCUUAAUUCCAAAUUAGAUUUUGAAUAGUUACAGAUUUACUGAUUUAACAUUUCAUAAUUUUAACCAUAUGAUCCUCAGUUUUGCAUUGCUGUUCAGUUUUAUUUUUUAUGGGUUAUCUUCACUGCAUAGGAGGAUCUUUUCUGAGUUCAUCAGAUGUGAGGUCCAAUAGUUCUUGGGAAUUUCAAAGCUAUUUGUACUAGAUUCAUUUUUUCGGUUGCUAUACUUUUCAGAUUUUAUUGCAUUUAAAUGAUUAUAAUAAUCAAUGUAGGAGGGUACACAACAUCAACGUGGCACGCGCAAACAUCUUCAAUUUGAGGCUGUGUGCAUCGGAAACUCUAGGAACUCCACCAAUGAUGUGUCCAAUGCAGAGUCACCAGCAACUCCUCUGAACAUGGGUACCAUAAGUGCUUCUUAUGCAGAAUCGGCUGCAACCUCCAGUAACAAGCAAUCGGUUCAAUCUUUUUCUGGGAAUUUUCUGUGCAGAUUGCUACUUAAGAUUGAUAGCUCAGGCCAAAAGAAGGGAAGCUUCCCUGCGAGAGCUCCUAAGCCAUCUGGUGUUGGCUUUCAUUUAAAUAGCAUUGGAAGUUCAGGAUCAAUCAACUGUAAUGUGAACAUGCAUGAUACAAGUUUUCGAGGACAGAAGUCACACUCGGGGGGUAAUAGUGAGGUUUCACAAGAGUUAAAGAAUCACUUAGCUUCAACGAGCUUAAAAGGACAGGAUUCAGCUAUAUUAACUGUGAUUUUGGAGAAUAAUUUUGCCAAUGGAAACAGUGAAGAGCAAAAUUUAGAGAAUCAGGAAAUAAAACUGCCAAAUUCUUCAGUUAGUUACCAACCUCCACUUGAUGCCAAACCUCUUCAAAGCUCUCUGCAGCCCAAGUUUAUUGAUCACUACAUGCUUUCUUGUAAUAUGAAAAGGCCACUUUCAGAUGGUGCUAGCAGUUCCAUGGAGUCAACUCAAACAUGUCCUGGAAAGAAGAGGUAGUGUGUUCAUGUUGGUACACUUGAUUUUGUUUUUUCUCCACUUCUAGGUAUAAUUCCCACUCCUAUAACUUGUUUCAUUGUUAUUUGGAACCUGAGAUGUCCAGGAAAAGGGCACCUGAAAAUGAUGGGCACAAGCAUUGCAACUGUAAGAGAUCAAAGUGCCUGAAACUGUCAGUGUUUCUUGAAUCUUGUAUUGAGAUAAAUCUAUGAUUUUUUGCUGGUCAUAAGUUCAUGCCUUCUUUUUAUCUUAUUUUUCCAGCUACUGUGACUGCUUUGCUGCUGGAACACUUUGCACCAAAGCUUGUGCAUGCCAAGAGUGCUUUAACAGAUCUGAACAUGAAGAUACUGUUCAUGCAGCCAGGCAACAGAUAGAAUCUCGAAAUCCACUGGCCUUUGCUCCUAAGGUUGUCCUGCAGGUCACCAAUCCACUGAAAGAUGAUGGAGUAAGAACUUCCUUACUGUGCCUGCUUGUGCAUCAUGUGUCAUUCCUUCCCAUGGCGAAUAACAUUAAAGCUGUCACAUUCUGCAGGAGAAUAAGCACAUGACACCAGCCUCAGCCAGACAUAAAAGAGGAUGCAGUUGCAAGAAGUCACUUUGCUUGAAAAAAUACUGUGAAUGCUAUCAGGUUUCUUGAGCAGUUGCAUGAAAUUUUAGCUAUUUGUUCUUUUCUUUAUAUGCAUCUUGAAUAAUACUUGUUUCUAAUUAUUUCUAUCCUGAAGGCUGGUGUUGGUUGUUCGUUUGGAUGCCGAUGUGAAGGUUGUAAGAAUACGUUUGGCAGGAAAGAUGGUAAGAACUUGAAACUAAUUUUGUGUUGCCUCCUAAAAUCAAGUAGCCAUUGUACUGUAACCAGAGCAACAGCCGUUAGUUUAACUGAUCCAGAUUUCCAGUAAAAUCAGUGGGUACCUAACUGCUCAAAUCUUAUUCCCAGAUGUUUGUUAUGUGAUAUCGAGUACUAUGUCAAUAGGAAUAGUAAGAGAAUUGCUUUCAUGUUGGCCUGUUUUGGAAGUGUCGGCAUUUCAUGCAUCAGAAAUUGAAAGUAGAGAUGCUUUUGUAAUCCAUGCAGCAGCCAUUAUGACAUCUGCUCAAACUAGAUAAAAUAAGAGAGCUUUACGGUAGCUAGACAAGACAAGGGCAUCAUUUGGGUCAUUUGCUUACUCUAUUAUUGGUAAAAUACUGCAUCAAGAGAAACAAAAGACAUGUCUUACAUCUGUAGCUAAUUUCUGAUAUGAUUAAUGCUUUAUUGUGGCGACAAAUUUAUUUUGUCAUUUUUUAUUUGGUUCAAAUAAUAUAUAAUAUUACACAUGUAAAAGAAUACUUUUUUGUGAUAAGCUGAAAAUUACAUUACUGGAAGUUAUUGUAAGAAAAAAGAAGGCAUAAAUAUGAUAACUGAUUAACUGUAGUGUCAAGCCUUCCAUCUUUCCUGAAUGGCUUUGCAAUUCUUCAUCAUUCAUUCCAAUUUGGAGCUAUAUACUUUGUCAUCUUGAGCUAUAUUCCUCCGAAAGUUUCAAUACACAUGCUUGGACCAUCUUGGUUUGUUUUCCGCACUUUAUUCAUAAUUUGCACAACUUAAAGCUUCCUUUCAUAUACUCCUUUCCAACCUUAUCCUAGUUUUACCUCUUCAUCAUGCUCAUCUAAUGCAGUUGGCGCUCUUUAUGGUGUAAAUGAUCUAAUCCAUACAACACCGAGGGUUGUCAGUUUUUCAAGGUCUUAGAACUAUAUAUGCAAGUGUCAAUGUACAUGGUUGUACCAUCUUGGUUUGUUUUCCACAACUUAAUUCAUAAUCUACACAACUUUAUAGCUGCCUUUGACCUAGUCCUUCCUCACCUUAGUCUAGUCUUACCUCCCCAUCAUGCUAAUCUAAUGCAGUUGGUGCUCUUUAUGGUGCAAUCUAAUCCAUACAACAUUGAGGGUCUUAUUGUCAAUUUUUUCGGACUUGGAGCCUAGGGAACUAUUUCUGUAAGGCUGCAAUGUGGGCAGGUUCGUUCGGGUUGAAGGCUAGGGCUAACCUGCCUAACCUUUAUAUCUUCCAAACCUUAUCCAACACGACCUUACCUCCCACCUGAAUUGACUGCAUUACAGGUUAAGCUAAAUUCAGGUUGGGUCUGAUUGAGCUGAGCUGGGGUAGAUUAAUUGGGUUAGGUAUGCGUGUUCAAGUAAUUUAAGGUUGGCAAACUUGCGUAUUAUGUGUUAUCAGUCCAUAUGUUAACGUCAAUAGAAAGAAGAUUAUCACAGAUUGAUGAGAUAAUCACUGAAACCAACUCAACACAUGAACUUCAGUUGCCUGUGCUUAAAUGGUCGUGGAGUUGGAUUCCUCAGCGUCAUAUUUUUUCGAUUAGAAGUUUUUGCAGUUGUGGAGUAACGCUAGCAUCCUUUAGGUUUGAGAUGGACUUUAUGUCUGGUAAUCUCAUGAUGACAUCAGCACAAGAAUACUGAUGGACAACACUAGCCUUUCCAUGGGCAGUUGAACUAAUUGAGAUGAACCUAGGCAUUUGCUUAAUGUAUCUUUCAAGAGAAUGUAAAUUGGUUGAAUUCAAGUUACUUUAAGAAUGGUUUCCUAUGAUGACUUGGUGAAUAGAUUUAUUGAUGGGUUAUUAAGUUCUUAUAGCUGGACUGUUAAAUAAUGAUGAAUUAAUGGUGAUAAGCAUGGAACAUUUAUCAUAAUGCUGAUUCAGAGGGAUUUCUUCUAUGCUAUGUCGGAGUCAUGUGUCUAUUGCAACAAUAGAAUGAUUUUUUAUUUUUGAAGCUAUCCCAAUAAACCCGCUUGCCCAGGAAUCUAGAAGAAUCUGUUUAUUAUCUCGUGGUUGUCUUUUGGAUGAUGUUUAUGAUGAGGUAUUUCUAGACAUUGGUUUAUAUCGCCAUCGUUCACCAGCAGAUGGUAAAUAUAUAGAGGAUAAUGUACUAGAUGCAAGUUCUUGUGUCUUUUGGAUCACAAGUUAUUACAGUUUUCUCCACAUGGGAGAAUUCGUUGCAAAUAUUUGAUUUUUUUUUCCUUUUAGAGAUAUUAUUUUGUGUAAUUUUUAAUUUUUUAACUGAGUGGGAUGAUGUAGCAUAUGUCAGGAUGGUCUUAUCUCACUUGUAGAUGUGAUGGCAUCCGACUUAAGAGAGGGGUUUUCUGUUGGUAUUUUGAUUAGAACUCUUGGUUUGAUUUGAAAUAUUGAAUUAAAUUGGAGCUUUUAUUUGAUUGAGUUUUUUUAGUAUGAUCUGUGUGAAAGACUCACACCCAUAUAAUGUAAUAAAUUAGGAAUAUUUUUCACUUUAGUUCUUCAAUUAUGAUUAGGUUUAAAUUUAUCUUGAGGAUCUUUUAUUACAUAUGAAUUAAAAUAAGUUUUCUUUGUGGAGGGGUGGGGGGGCUUGGACCUCCAAAAAUUUUUCUUUCCCUUCUGUUUCUUUUUCUUGUGCUACUGCUCUCUCCGCUUAUUCCCCUUCCUGCUCUAGCCGGGGCUGCAACUGCUAAUAGCACUCCUCUCAUCUUUUUCUUUUUCUUUUUCUUUGUCCAUUCAACAUCAACCCUUCUUUUUCAACACAUUCCGCUUUUGUCAACAAUUUGUUGCAGCACUCUAGUUAUUUUUCUUGUUGUCGUCGUCGUCUUCUUUUCCUUGUCUAUCUUUUUUUCUUAAUCUUUUGCACCACGUUUGGAGAAUAAAGAUUCAAUGUAGCUAUUUUUCAUGCUUUGUAAUAUGUGGAAAAUGUGAUGUCUUUGUAUAUGUAUUUGCUUAAGUUAACAACUGGAAUACCUUCAUGUUGACUAGUAUAAUAUUGUUUAGCGGGCUAUGAAGAAAACAAUGUUCCUCAUAUAAUACAACCUAGAUAUUGCAAGUUUAAUUCUAUGUUGAUGAAAUAUUAUAUUUAUCUCUGCCUCGAUGGUUGUGACAAAAGAUAGAAGAAGAUAGCAUACACAAGGUGCAUGCUUUAUUUCAUGCACCAGUUGCAAGAUUUUGGUGAGGAUUUAAAAAUUUUUGCAGCCUUGAAAAUCUGGCAGAUGCUGGAAGCUGGGUUGUUAACAAAGUUUUAUGCAGAUGGAUGGAGAAGGAAUCUGUUCUGAAAUUAUCUGCAAUAAUCUUCAAAUAAAUCUCACUGUAGUAGUUUGAAGCGUUUGCAGACAAUAUUGUGGGAUAAAACAUUGUGAUACCGUUUAAAAUUAUCACUACUCUUUUCCCCCAUACUUUCUGGUGGAGCCACCAAAAGAAAAAUGUGUUUGUAUUACAGGUUGUGGUGAAAUCAUCGAAAUAGAGCAUAAAAAGUUGGAAGGUAGCUGGGAGAGCGAUCCAUCUUGUGCGAUACUCGAAGGCAUAGAUCUCAAGAGGGAAGCAGUAGUCAGCACCAACCAGCGUCGGUCACACCUUUCCCCUGAUACACCAUCAAUCCUAGGUCAAAGGUAUGAUUCAUUUGAUGAAAGAGCAGGUAAUCUUAUUUAGUACAACAUAACGUGCUACUGUUAUGUUAGUUCUUACACUAACAUGGGGCGGACUGCUUGAUUGCUUUUGUUCUUCCCUCGUGUUACCUGUUGUGCAGUGGAAGUGAUGUACCCAGAUCUCAUUUCCCUGCAAGAUAUUAUGCGUCACGAGAAUCCAGUGCAUCAAGUUUACCAUAUUAUGGAGGGUCUCCAAGUCCUCCAGUAGAUUUGAUGAGCAAUAAUGCAUCAGAACGUGCAGGAGAAAAAACUUUGCCUCUAGUCCCCGAUUAUCAGGAACCCGAAUGUCGUCCAUCUGCAGUGGAAGUGGAACCAUUCUCUCAUGGAUGGGGUGGGUUUCCGGACGUGUGCAAUCCCUGGCCAAAUCCUUCAAGUGCUCGUUGCGUCUCUGUUGCAUCGAAAAUUAGAAGACCAAAGAUUUUGCAGAUAAAGUUGUUUCAAGGAAGUGCUCGCUUAUCAGAGGGUUCACUCUGUUGGCGCAGUUCACCAGCAACUCCGCCACCUCCAUUAGGUGAAAGCAGGUUGGUAGUGGAGCCAGAUUCUGGCAGUGGGGUGCAUGACAAUCCGGAGGAUGAUGAUACUCCCGAGGUUUUGAAGGACAACCGCAAGGCAGCCAUGGCAAGAUCUCCCAAACAGAAGAGGGUAUCUCCACCAAACAAACGCGCGCACGAGAGUAGGUCUGGCUCUUCAUCGGGUCUCAGGAGUGGUCGCAAAUUCAUAUUGCACUCUCUGCCCUCUUUUCCUCCGCGUACUCCGUACGACAAUUAUUCUAGAGGCAAUGGUGCGUGAACUGCCUUCCACUAAUUUUGAGGCAAGUACCGUCGACAUUUUCUAGGUGUUAGAAUUGCAAUUGCUUUUAAGUGCCUUGUGGAGUGACAAUCUUGAAUCUUCCAUGUCUUUCGCCAGGAUAUGAUGUCACGAUCCGUAUCUCAGUCGGCAUGUGCUGAUUUGUGAGAAAAAGCAGCAGCCGUGAGGACUUGGAAUCUCGGCAGAAGGGGCAUGGGUUGGGUACCGGUGGUACAUAAACUGUCAAUUUAUUACUCUAAUACCCUACCAUUCUGCGAAUGCACUGCUUCAUAUCAAGUAACGAAUAUGUUCAGAAAAUAUUCAAAAAGAAAAUGAAUGCAAGCUACCUGCACACCAGCCAAUUAGCUACUGCCUUUUCUCUCGUCAGGGUGCUGGUAGUUUUUCCUUUAAGGUUGCUAUCUGUGUCUUCCACCAGAAGAGGAGGUACUCUUAUUAAUAAACUUGCCACUGUUUGUUGGUCUGAAAUAAAAGCCUCUACCCCAAUGGUAGAUUGGAAACAUCACGAGCCUCGAACGGUUGGUCCCACGACCCUUGCUCCGUGCACUCUGUGAUGUGAGAAUGAUCUCCGAGAGUAACGCUUGUAGCUUGGGUUUGGAUUCCUGGUGCUGGCUGAUGCCUUGAGUUACUGAAAAUCUAAUAAUCUAGCUGCGAGUUCCCCUUGAUGUGUUUGAGCCAAUAUUCAAAAUUAAAUAUAAUAUGUACGUUGUGGCAGCUAAAACCGUUCGUGCUUUUGGCAUGAAAUUGAAUGUUUUUGUUUUUUUGGUCAGCAGAUGCAUCAAUACUUUGCGAGAUGCAUACCCCGUAGGAAAGAUUUUGGGUCGACCCUGUUGUAAGACAAUUUGUUAUAAAGUAAACUAGUCUUUUACAGGCUAGGCGUCCCCUCUCUAAAACGAGUGUUUCCGGAUAAUGGAUUUGCUGUAGUAGAUACCAGCCACCUUGGAACGUCGACGACACUCCUGUGCGUUGGGGACUCUACCUGGAGCAGCGAGGUGGAGUGUGCGUGUAUGUAUACAUGUGUGUGUGUGUGUGUAUAUAUAUAUAUAUAUAUAUAUAUAUAUAGUAGNNNNNNNNNNNNNNNNNNNNGUGUGUGUGUGUGUGUAUAUAUAUAUAUAUAUAUAUAUAUAUAUAUAGGGCAAGUGGCCCUCCGGCUAAUUGGUCAACUGACUCUUGGAAGUUGCUACGAUACGUAUGGCCCUCGCAUAUCUUUCGAGCAGCUAGUGGGUUCAGCAAUUUGUUUGGCGAAAAGACUAAAAUGUACAUAUAAUCCGAACAAAGCGAACAGAGUGCUCCAUUUGAACAUCCUGAAAGGCCAUGACACAAUGUCCAUGUGCGUGCAAGUGCUCAGACCCUGCACGGUAAUAAAGUAUUAAUAAAAAAGAAACAGCUUAAUUUUCGUCUAACCGCCUCCGAACAUAAAAGCUUUGAUAACACCAUAAAGAGAAUAAAGAAUAUGUUUUGCACAGUCAUAAAUAACCUGCAAGGAUGAUUUAUGUGUGAUGCAUGUAUUUAAUGUAACUUUUCUGGUGAGAAAACAGAGAUGAAGCUACUCUUUUUAAUAUUAAUAUCAAUAUUAAUGUUAUUAUAUUAAUAUUAUUAUUUUUAUUAUUAUUGUUGCUGUUAUUGUUAUUAUUAUUUUUGUUUUAUUGUUACCGCUGCCGCUGUUUCUGCUACUAUUAUUUAUUACUGGCGUAAGCGGUGGCGUAACAUCCAAGCCACAACAGAAAAUAUUGUACGAAUAAAUGCUAAUCCAGUUCAAACAAACAAAAGUAAAGCUAAAAUCUGAAUCCAUACACUAAUCUCAGAAAGGGUAACUGAAUUAUGCAAUGUUCAAAAGACACCAAUACCAAUGCCAUCCAACUAAUAAUGUUUAUGAGUGUGCAUAUGGACAAAGUUUGUAAAUAAAAUGCCGGACCAAAAGACGCUAGGAUGAUCGAAUGCAGCUAUAUCAUAUGCCCCAAACACAUCUCUAACAGUAUCCAUAAUUUUAUCUAUUCAUUACAGCUAUAGGAUAUCUUUGCUUUCCCCACUCCACAAUAUUAUCCAAAAUCAAAGCUGAAUACUCCAACUAGGAGCGAGAUCCAUCAAGCCCCAGUGUGGCGGUAAGCCACUUGCAUACAUCUUCCAUCUCUUCAGGGAUUGUGUAGUGACCAAGCCUGCAAAGUUUCGAUUUCCUAAACAUAAAAAUGCAACCAUGUUUGGCCGACAGAAUCAAAGUAGUGCAAGAAACUGCCACAUACCCAUUGUAAGUUUUGAAAGUACAACUCUGAAAAUUAGUAGAUCUCAACACCUCAGCAGAUUUCUCUCCAUGUUUAUAGAGCACAACUUCAUCCCCUGCAUUUAUCCCCAUCCAAAAAAAAUAAAAUCAUCAAGUAGGCUUGCAUAAUGCUCUUUACGUACAAAGUGAAUCAAAGAACUUAUGAUUUACCAAGUCAAUUAUUUAUUCUGGAAAGAGGAGUACAGCUUUCUAGCAGACCAUCAAAUUAGUUAUGAACAAAUGAGACUAAAAUGCUACAGUUAAGUUUUUUUUUGGUGGUUAAAAAUUCCUGCCCACUCAAGUUUGAACCUGAGAACUCUCACUAGGAGAGGAAGAGUACCAGCUGGCUAACAGCUGAGCUACAGUUAUGCUUUUUGAAGGAUUUGAAAGUGAAAUCAUGAUUUAAAAAGCUCCAGGGCUUACUUAAGGCUCCAUUCAUAGUUUUAAUGCCUCAAUGCUUAAGAUGGAUUAUGAUUCCUAGAGGAUCAUGCAACAAUUAUCUGCAUCUGACCUAAGGCAGUAAGGACUAAGGAGUAUUCCAGGACUCUGAAAUUUAUAUUUAAGUAAAAGUGCCAUCAGUUCCUUCUGCCAGUUAGAAUGCAUGUGGCUGUUAAAGAUUUAAGAUAUUGUUAAGUUCUAUUUAAGAUUGAUUUGCCAUAUUAUGUUCUUAAUCUAGAUAAGUUUUCAGGUUUUGCUAUAACAAAUACAUCUUUAUGAAUUUGGACUUUGGAGGAUGUGAGAUUCUUAUUAUGCAUAUAAUCAUAGAAAUACCAGCUCAAAGAGAGUCUCCUCAGACUCCCUAUGAGAGUCCAGUGACAUUAGAAACCUUUUUAAAUAGAGCUUUAGAGUGUUCAAGUCUUGAAGCAAGAAAUCUAAUUAGGGAUGUCAUGGUAAUUGACAAGUUGGGAAAUAUAGCUGCUCUUAUAUAGUGUCAGGAUUUUUUCUCACAUAUACAGCCAAGGAAUAUCAAAUCUUGGGAUUGUGCAGUCUUUAGGUAAUCAGCACCGGACUUGGAGAAAGGCAGUGAGGUUUAAGAAGGACAAGGAGCAAAAUACCUGGGGACCACAACACAGGACUCUAAUUUCCAAAUUUACAUUACCACAACACAGGACUCUAAUUUCCAAAUUUACAUUACCACAACACAGGACUCUAAUUUCCAAAUUUACAUUCCUCAACUCUGGAUUUUGGGUCGGCCUACAUCAUUAGUUUUAAGUUGUAAUGGCCUAACUCCUUCAGUCCUGAAGGUUUCAGGAUUACCCAAGGUAGACUUCUUUUCUGAGUGAUACUUGGUGAAUUGCAUCCAGAUAUCUGGUUCAGGUGUCGAGGAAGCCUUUGCAGAGGGCUUUUGAAAGUCACAAAUCUUAGCUUACUCUACGAUGAUUUUCUUGAUUUUGUCAAACUUUCAUUGAGACAAGGGGCAUUGGACCAUUAAACUUCAACUGGGCAAAUCCUGCCCUUUGGCCUAAGAUUUUAUAAGACCUUCAAACCCAAAAAACAUUGAUUCUAAAUAUAUGCAUAAAAUACAUGAUCAAAAGAGAAACAAAAUUAUUGCCAAACAAUUAAAAUUGCCUUUUACAUGAUCGAAAAGAAUAAUGUUAAAUACUCCUAAUCCUUCAAACCAUGCCUUCUUUUUUCAAAAGAAAGAUGGCCCAUAAUGCAUCAUAUAUUGGACUACUAAACCUUAUGAAACACCACCUCUCAGCUGACCUUACAAAAUCUAAGGUUCCCUAGAUUUCAGAAAAUAAAAACUAACCUAAUUAAGAUUGCAGCCUAUUUUGGGAAUGAGCAAGAGACAUCUUAAAAUGUGGUUUAGGCUUAACUUGGAUUAUGUUUAGUUAUUUCCAAUUUUUUGUUUACUUUCAGUUUAUCUGCUUUUUUAUUGAGCUUUAACGUUUUCUUCUUAAAAAAAGAAUUAUAGGCAUAGCUACUUAUUUCAUACGUUUUCACAAUUUUUACUGACCUUUAGCUAUUCUAAGUUGGUUUGUAAGUCCUAUUUUUUAGUGGGAUUAUUGCCUACAAGUCCUGCUUUGGGUUCUAGGUUGGGUGUGGAAGGUUCAAGUCAUUACAAUUGCUUUUUGCUUCAAACCGAUAACCAAUCGAUUCUCAUCUCCCUUGUUAAAUAAGAAUUCUUAGCAAGUCUUACUAUGUCUUGGGUAUAGAAGGGAAAGAAGAGGAUACAAUCAAUUUUGGUAUUAAAUAAUGAUUUUUGCUCCUUUGUUCCUGUCCAUCUCAGUUCUCUGUAUCUAGCUCAUCUAUUCAUUAUUUAUACACAAGCGGUGGCCUAAAUCAUGAAAAUAAUCGCUUUUAAGAGCAUAAAAUUAUUCCCUACACCAAUUUUGUGAUAAUUUGAAUUUGGUAGCUUUUUAGCUAUUAUUGAUUAUGCAAGAUGAUUUUCAGAUCCUAUGAUAUUAUAGAUGUGAUCAAUCCUGAACUCUCUACAUUGGCAGUGGAGGAUGCAGGUUGGCGCGUUGAUGGAGGUGGAGGGUGAGGGCAGGAGGUUGUAGGGUUGAUUGUGGACAAAGUGACAGGAAUGGGCAUAAGGACAGAUGAUACUAGAGGGGGUAUGGGGCCUAAGGUUUAACUUGUUGGAGGCACCAACAGCAGGCAAGGACAAGAGAAGACAAUUGGCAGUUGGUGAGGGGUUAAGGAGAAGAUGGGAGUGGAGAAGGAAAAAUAAGGGUCACUUGGUUUGUAGUUCAACUUGUAUUAAGCAUUUUGUAUAUAAUAUUAUGUACGUCUACUAUAUUAUACUAAUGUGCAUAUUAUGUAUAUACUAUAUAUUGGGUUGGGAAAUUGCCAACUUGGGUUGAACCCAGCUCUGAUCCAGUAAAUAUUUAGCUAAUCAGAUUGGGCUAGUUAUCGAGUUGCCCAUCUCAAAAAGAUCAUUUGAUACAAUAUUAAUCGGUCCAAUCCUCAGACUAGCGUAGAUACCAGAAGUAGAUUAGUAGAAUUUCAGUUUGGAUGCUUCCUCGAAAAUAGCUUUUCUACCUGAUCAAAGUCAACACCAUGGUAAGGAAUGCUACACAAACACAGAGAUGAGAAUCAGACCUGGACAUGUAUCCAAGUUUUCAGCACAGCAAGACGGGAAAAAAAGAGAUACAGGAAUACAUAGGAUAAAUUAUAAUUUUAACUUAAUUAUCAAUUUAAACCUUUCAAUAUUGUUUGUUUAAAUAUUAAAAGAAACAUUAAGAAGAUAUGGUUUGUUAAGGUUUUUCAUAUACAUGUUCUUAUUCAAACUUUCCAAAUUAUUUAAAGGAUAUAACAAAAAUAACAUUUUGUAAAAUUAUUUUAAUCGCUCUAUUCUUGGCAGAUCGCUACGAAGAACGAAUACUUCUAACACAAAAAUGGAGGGUCAGGCUCAUUUUCAGAAGAGUUCAACUCCCCGCCAAUCUUUAAAAGUGGCCACCAUAUAACUUCAUCAAGUAUCCAAGUGUCUGAUAUGUAUCCACGUUACAUAUUAGACAUGGAUUGUUGGAACACAACUUACAAUAUGAUGUCCUAUCAUUGCAGAAGGUGCUCCUUAUUACAUAAACACAAUUCAUGAUAUUAAUUCCACUUUCUAUUGAUCUCAAUGAUAGGUACUGAUGAAGUUGAUUUAAUGUUUUUGGAGUAUUCAAAUUAUCUUUUAGCAUUAGCCUUUUAGUGUCAUUUUGCUGUAAUACAUCAAUAUAUGUUAUUAAACUUUAAAGUUAACUUGAGAUAAACAUCUUCUACUUAAUAGUUGGUUUCAGUGAUGUCGAUAGCCUCAAAGAUUAUUGUUCACAAAUCAAAAUUCCAUCAAUCGCUUAUCAUCUCUUGUUCUCCAUCCUCCUUUCAAAAACAGUUGUUCGACUUGAUUAAAAUUAACAAUUGCAGUAAGCAAUGCUACUAAGAACUAAAUAGAUUUAUUGUUACAAAUAUGAUAUUUCAGCAUAGCAGUAGGAUUCCUCAUCAAACCCUUUCUAUGAUCUUGUUCUAUCAUAGGUAAAUCUGUAGGAAUUCUGAGUUUGAACCCUGCCUCAUGAAUUGCUUUUCUAUUUGAUCAAAAUUAAUCCUGGUGGCAAGCAAUGCUGCAAAUGGCCAAACUGAUUACAUCUCACGAUAUGAUAUCUUACCAUAAUAGUAGAGAUCCAUAUGCAUAUUCCAUCAUUGAACCCGAUUUAUGAUCCAAAUUCCACUCUCUACUCAUUUCAACAGUAAGAGCUGAUGUAUCUUUCCUUCAGCAUUCAAUAUAUUCAUUAACAUUAAUUUUUGGUGUCAGUUUGCUAAUGAUACAUAAAUAUCAGUAUAUCAUCUAUCCAAUCUGAGAUGGAAACUUUAGGCAAUGUCAAUGGCCUCAAAGAUCAAUGGGUAUUACUUAGAAAUUCUGUUCUCCGUCUAUUAUUUUUUGCCACCUCCCUGGCCUGAGAAAUUUUUGCAUUGCCACUGGCUACACUUAUGCUAUCAAACAAUGACAUAAUCUUCCAUCUCUUUAAGGCUCAACUAUGAAUUAAUCAAUCUAAAAGAAUUUCCUUACAUGGUGUUCCAAACAGUAGGCAUGUAAGAUAAUCAUGAUUGUUACUUAAUAUAAGAUCCAUUUUCUGGGGUUUCAUCUCAAUAUCAUAUCACACAUCAUUCCAUAAGUUACUGACAAAAAUUGGAUAUUCAUUUCUUCUGCCUUUUUUCCAUGAUUUAUCCUGCUUAGGGAAAUAAAAUAUAACUAAUAGGCAAAUUAAAAUAAAAAGCUUACUAGUUGAUGUAAGUGGAGAUAUAGAAAACAGAAUAUAGUAGUUGUUUCUUUGUCUAUGCUGUAUGGAUAAAUACCUCUUCCAUGACAAAGCAAAAGUGGCAAGGAGGCAGCUCUUCUUGCAGCUGCUUGAGAGCUUUCCACCUUGUUCUUCAAGCUCCUAGAAAACAGAAGAAUGUCAUUGCAGAUGGGUUUUGUUUAGACUCAAAUACAAAUAAUGGUGAGUGAUGAUAGGAGAGACCUGGAACAUGGAAGCCAGCCACUUAGACCAACAAUUGCACUUAAGUUGACAGGGUAAGGAUUGCCAUUUCCAUAUUUUCCAUGAGCGAAACAAGUAGCAGAAUAGAGUGCAGUAGCAGCACCCAUGCUAAAACCACCAACACCAAUCUUGACUGUAGCAACCAGCCCAAAUAAGUCAGUAACUAAUCCAAACACAAAAAGAGCAGAGCAUCCAACAGACGUGAUAUUCAUGGUCUAUAUUAACUUGAAACGCAUCAUACAUAUCAACACAGAUUAGGGCUGAAAUCAGAUCGGUUAUAAAUUGGAUACUAGUAUAUCCACAUCCAUAUUUGUUUUGUUUGACAAAUACAGAUACGGAUAUAGAUGUUAGUCGGAUGGAAAAAUUCAUACCAAGGUUUGUUGUCUCAAUACCAGACCCUGUAUCAAUGCCACACGAGCAUUGUGUCGCUAUGAUAUGGUACGGAAUCUUUUCAGUAUACCAAGUGUCGGUACGCCACUAGUACUGAGUACCGGUACCGAACCAGUACGGUACGCCCCGUACCAUCUAGUUCGGGCCAACACAGCGAACUAUAUUCCUAUCCAUAUUUAUUUUAAAUGGAUACAAAUCAGAUAUUGGAAGUAUGGAUAAAAAUAGGAAUAUAAGUCAGAUAAUUAAACUUUAUGACCAUGAAAUCAAAGCUAUUACUAAGUAGAAAGUAAAUCAAGUUAAUAGCAUAUUAAUGUGGUCAUUUAUUUUCAUUAAAAUUAAUGAGUAAUAAAAUUAAAUAGUACAAAUACAAUUGGAUAUUGGAUAUAGAUCGGGUGGUUGUCUAUCCAUAUCCAUAUCCAUUUUUCUUUGAUAGAUACAUAUACGAAUACAUAUAUUAGUUGGAUACUCAAAUUUUUAUCCAUGUCCAGAUAGAUUUGGAUACGAAAAUAGAUCUAGACGGAUAUUAUCUGAUCCACUUUCAUCCUUAACACAAAUGCACAUGUUUGAAAUUUUUUGAAGAUUUUAUGCAGACAUACCAACCAAGGCUUCACAUUCUUUUCUUUCAUGAGGUUUGAUGGUGUGACACCCUUUACGUUUCUAUAACCUCCUUCUACACAGUUUAUAUCUGGUAAAGUAAGAGGUGCUUUCAUUAUGUGCAGUUUGCUGACCAUUUAGCAUGACUAAUUAAAAGAAAAGAUGACACCAAUUCUGAACAAAUUCAACGUAUAAAAAAAUACAUAGCCUUAAAAAGAUUCCAACAACUUUAUCCUUGGAAACAUACUAUCAGCAGGCUCUGUUGAUAAUAGGUUUGCAACAUGUGCAGCUGAAGCAUCCAUUCCCUCAACAUCAUCAGGUCCAUCUUCCGAUAGGUCCCCAACAUCAAACCCUAAAAGUCAAGAGAAAAAUAAAAGGAUCCCCAUCAAAAUUACAUCAUAAGAUCUUCAAUAACACCUAUAAGGCAUUCUAAUUAUACGCACGUAUAAUAGAAGUGGUAAGUAUAUAGUUCAAGGUCAAAUGAAGCAUAGCCAGGAAGCUCACAAUAAUAAUAAAAUAAAUUUUCAAGUAUAAAUCAUAUUCAAGCUAGUGAACUCACAUGCAGUGCAAGGGAAUCCACCAAAAACUGCUACAGGUCGAGUAGGUGCUGUUGGACAUAUCCACUUAAUCUGCAUAAGUGACUAAGUUAACGGAGGUCAUGAUAGAAACCCAACAAAUGACAAAAAUUACACAAGGAUGUAUGAGCUUCUUAUGGUGAAAGAUGAAGGGGGUUAGAGAGAAAUGCUUAGGGCAUCUUAGAUUAACCUCAUAAACAACUUAAGAAUAUCAUAUUUCCUAUUCUUACAUUGGGAAGAGGAAGGGUCUCCAAGAGUUGGGACCAGCUGCAGAAGAAAGAACCAAAAUGCAACAAUAUCAGGAAGGAAUUCAUCAGAAUUUUUUUCAAACUAUAUGGAUUGUACAACUGAAUGAGAAAUAGAUAUCUGAGUUUGUCAAAGAAAGCUCUAUGAAUGAUAAUGUACCUGUCAAAGCUUUUUCGUAAAAAGUAAAAUAACACAAUAGUAAACACAAUCCAUGUCAGUCACCUUAAAGAAAGCAUGAGGAUGCAUUUUUUAUGCACCUUAUGAGAAUACAGGGUUUGUUGCAAAUGUUUUUCACAGACCCCAAGAUAGAAUACAGAACAUACAAAUGAGAUUAGAUAGUCCUUUUACGCAUUUUUUCUUUAUUGGUUCCCAGUAUUUUAGUUUAGAUCAAGGUCCGCCGAACCGGCACCGGAACCCAUACUAGUCAGCACCCAGUACGGCUCAGUACGGUUUGGUACUGUACCAGGGCUGGUAUGGGUAGGGCAUGCCGGAGGCUCUCUCCGUUACUUUUCCUUCCCAAACAAUCAAAAAAUCGCCAAUUCAGCAGCUCAAAGAAAGAUCCAAGCCUAAAUCGGGUGUGCUUCCUCUCUCUCCUAUCUCAUUUUCUCAAUUUUUUGGGAGAUUGAAAAAAUAACUCGAAAAUUGCAAAAUAAAGAAAGAUCAAGCGAGAAUUUUCGAUUUGGGUUUGAUUUUAUUAUAUGUUGUAGAUCUAUGGAUGAUCUACAUAAUGACAUAAAAAUGUUUAAUUUUUAAAUUAUAUAUAAUUUUUAAAAUUAAAAAUAUUUUUUUGGAUUAAAAAUAUAUUAAUUUUUUAAAAUUAAAAAAAAUAAAAAAAAAUGUAAAAUCAGAAACAUAUUUAGGGGCAUGCAACCUACUCUCCAUAAAAAUUUGGUAUCCAUUCAUUCAAGUUUUGAUGCGAUCAUGCGCACAGUUGCCCAAACCUAAAUUUGAAAAAAAAAUGAGAAAUAAGUAGCUUUUGAUAAAUGCCCAAGAGUUUAGAAAAAUAUAUGUAGCAUCCAUUGUUGGGUUUUACAUAAAUCUGAGUUGAAAUUAAUUUUUUGAAAUAUUAAUAUUUAAAUAGUAGUUUUAAAUUUGAAAAAUAAUUAAAAAUAUAUGGAGGAUCCUCUCCAAGGGCUAGCUAUCCGAAUUCUCUUCCAGACAGUCUUCUCGAGUGGCUGUGAGCGCAACUGGUCCACUUUCGCCCUCAUCCACAACAAGCAGAGGAACCGUUUGACACAGAAGCGCCUCAACGACCUUGUAUAUAUUCAUUACAAUCUAAGGUAGAGGCUGAAAUGUAUUCAAGAAGAAAGUAGAGCUCAAGUACACAAAUCCAAUCCAUAGUGUUUUCGUUGAUGAUGACGAUGAUCUUAUGAUCGGAUGGCUUGUGGGCCAGCAAUAGGAGCUGGAGCUUUAUGAACGAGGAUCGCCUCCACGAUCGGCCAGUUUUAUAGGCAGCAAGGCUAGGGUCGAUGCAGGGCAAUGGGUUGAGCGCAAUAUUCCACGUAUCCUUCCAGCUGAUCAGCCACAGCCACAAAAGAGCCAGUCACCACAUAAUUUCUUGUCUGAGACAUUCUCUCAGAGAUAUUGAGAGAGGCUUAGACGAGGCCAUUAUGCGACUCGGUCGACUUGGUCAAGAGGGCGAUAUACAUCCUCCCAAUAUAGCCAGACAGAAAGGGGCACAAAAGGUAAGAAAACAGCUACCCAGCACACUAAACAAGAAAAGCAAGACACAUGCAGCCCCAAUGGAGAGUGUUGAGCGGUUAGCCCACUCAAAUUCAAAGACCAGGAGUAGCAGUUCUGGUGGUCAUGGAUCUGUUGGCCAGAAAGGGAGUGAAGGACAAAAAACCACCGUUUAUGAGACAACCGCAGGAUAGUCUUCGAUUCACCGGUGAGCUAGUUCAUGCAUGUUACACAGGAUAGGGACCACGAUGCACAAUCUGAUAGAGCCCGCGAAGAUACGAUUGCACAUAGAAGACGGGCUCCUCGAGGUCAUUCUGGAGGACAUGAUGCAACUGCAGAUGAUCUCGUACAUGGAGUAGGAUCCAUAGACAUAUCCAGUUCCGAAUCGUAUACUAUAUCCUAUUAUCCACAGCCACAAGCAACCUAUGAUUCAUAUGGAUACGGAAAUGGAUAUGGUGUGUCUAAGGCAUCUUCCGGUGGCUACUAUCCUACACAGCUCGGAGUAUCUCAUGAGUUGAAUUUUGCUGCCGGCUCCUCUACAGCCGUAUUAUCAGCGAGAGGACAGCUCUUAGAGCUAGAGCUUCGGCGAGAAGUUCAAGAGUGUUUAUAACUCGGUGCACAUUUUUUUAUGGGAUAAACAUACAAGACUACAACGCCGAUUAAUUAGAGAAGUGGGUUGAUAUGCCUCCUGACUAUGCUGAUGAUCUAGAUAUCUAUGAAAGUCAUCGCUACUCGACCCAAUUUUAGAUAUCGGUACGUAUGUUGUACUUUAAAUGUAUGUAAUUGAUUGUAUUAUUUUAUAAUUUUUAUGUCACUACUUGAUUUGAAAAUAUUUUAUAUUGUUUCUUGUAGCAUGCAACAUCUCACUAAUCAUUUUAUAAUUUAUAUUAUUUUAAAAUAAUAAGAUGCAUUAUUUAGGUUAAAUCGGUAUCAUAGAAGCAUCAAAAAAUAUCAAGAAAACACACAAAAAAUAUUAAAUUAGAUUUAAAAUCUAUGAAAAAGUUCAAAAAAAAGUAAUUACCAAUUAAAUAUUACAAAAAACUCUCCCCCCAAAAACAUGGGCGUGCCGGCACGCGCUACCCAUGCCGGCACGCGCUACCCAUGCCGGCCCCAAUACGGUAUCGAACCAGUACCGAACCGCACCGAUUGCCGACCAGUACGAAUCUCGGUACCAGUUCGGCAGACCUUGGAGCUAACACAUUGAGCUUAUAAUUUAGCUAUAAUCUUCUAUUUGGAUAGUUAGUCUUUCGCAGUUUUAAAACCCUUAAGUAUAUCGAGAGAUAUGUGUGAAGUCAUGCCUUUUAUGUGUUAAAAAUUCAAUUUGACUUGGAAUGAAAUUCUUCUCUUCAAGGAAAUUAUAAUAUGUAUGAUAAAUAAUAAAUAGCUUGAAGUAAGAAAUUAUAACUUGAAAUAUACAUAUCUAUGGAUACGAAGAUUCUGAAGUCAAGAAUUAUCAUGUCACUAAAACUAAAAGAACUAUUGACAGUAAUUCAGGAAAAGAAUACUCCAUUAUACAAGAGGUACAAGCAUAACAGUUAGUUAAACAAAACUUUGUAAUGACACCAAGCACUGAUGUUCAUAAGCUUAUUUGUUCAAAUCAUAGUGUAUUAAUGUACAAGUUAAACAAAUUGAUAUUUGCGAUUCAUCAAUGUGCAAAAAGGUGUUUGAGAGACAGCAAGGUGAAACGGAAAGCAAAACACUAAACAAAGUACUAAAAUUUCUCAUAAUGUCUAAUGUGUUGCUAGAACCUAGAAAAAGUACCAAAACAAAUGAAAAAUCUGAUAUGCCAGUUACAGCACAAGCUACUAACUUAAUGGUCCCAGAAUCUAGCCAUCGAACAAGUCUGGUCGAUGAAUGACCAACCCUGGCCCACCAAUAAAAGAAAAGGAAAAAAAUUGAGAAAGAAAAUGAGUUUUAGUAUUUCGUAUUAUAUUCAUAAUUUUAUUGCCCUCUUCUUGUUGAACCAAUUAGAAUGGAGGCCUCAUAUGAACCAGAAGUAGUUUCCAUACAGUAAAACAUGAUUCCUUAUGUAAUGGCAAUAGGGCAUCCACAUUACCCAACUUCUAUUCCCUCUUUAGGCAUUGAAAGGAAAAACAGGCAUAUGCUUUAGAGAGCAAUAAUAAGACAUGCUAAGCAUCUGAGUGAAUGCAAUACCAGGUACAAUUUCUUGGAACAAGAAAAUGAAAAACAUGAUAAUCAUCGAAAGCAAAGCUUAGAAUAAAGCUAAAUACACAAUGAUUCAAAACAUUUUUUAGCAGCCACCUAAUCUAGACAGAGGAGUGCUGAUGUGUAUGCCCAGCCAAGUUUUGUGUCACACAGCUUGCAUAAGACAAUCGCUGCCAAUGAAGACUAUACUCCUAUCAGGAUGUGAGAUUGAAACUACACACAGCUAAGGCACUCAUGUGAUGCAAUCUAAUGUCUCAAAUUAUAAAGCAAAAGAUUUCUACAGUCAUUACCAAAAGCAUGAAAGCCACAGUAGUCACCAAGUCACCUAAAUUAAAGACAAUGGUAUUAAUAAUGAAAGAGCAAUAAAUAC
This 37022-nucleotide long non-coding RNA is filed under the name Phoenix dactylifera (date palm). Its description in RNAcentral is "long non-coding RNA (PDAC_LNC000113)". Lineage: Eukaryota; Viridiplantae; Streptophyta; Magnoliopsida; Arecales; Arecaceae. The record is from RNAcentral.